UACGUAGGUGGCAAGCGUUGUCCGGAAUUAUUGGGCGUAAAGCGCGCGCAGGCGGUCCUUUAAGUCUGAUGUGAAAGCCCACGGCUCAACCGUGGAGGGUCAUUGGAAACUGGGGGACUUGAGUACAGAAGAGGAAAGCGGAAUUCCAAGUGUAGCGGUGAAAUGCGUAGAGAUUUGGAGGAACACCAGUGGCGAAGGCGGCUUUCUGGUCUGUAACUGACGCUGAGGCGCGAAAGCGUGGGGAGCAAACAAG
RNAcentral lists this ribosomal RNA (253 nucleotides) under uncultured bacterium. RNAcentral's name for it is "partial 16S ribosomal RNA". It matches the Rfam family "Bacterial small subunit ribosomal RNA", at positions 524 to 776 of the family's 1533-position model. The record is from RNAcentral.